UACAGAGGUGGCAAGCGUUGUUCGGAAUUACUGGGCGUAAAGGGCGCGUAGGCGGCUUGGUCAGUCCCGUGUGAAAUCCCUCGGCUUAACCGGGGAACUGCGUCUGAUACUGGAUGGCUUGAGUUUGGGAGAGGGAUGCGGAAUUCCAGGUGUAGCGGUGAAAUGCGUAGAUAUCUGGAGGAACACCGGUGGCGAAGGCGGCAUCCUGGACCAACACUGACGCUGAGUGAGCGAAAGCCAGGGGAGCAAACGGG
RNAcentral lists this ribosomal RNA (254 nucleotides) under uncultured bacterium. RNAcentral describes it as "partial 16S ribosomal RNA". It matches the Rfam family "Bacterial small subunit ribosomal RNA", at positions 524 to 776 of the family's 1533-position model. The record is from RNAcentral.